Molecule: non-coding RNA, 1655 nt
Organism: Rattus norvegicus (Norway rat)
Lineage: Eukaryota; Metazoa; Chordata; Mammalia; Rodentia; Muridae
Source: RefSeq, a predicted model, not a curated record
AGCAGUGGAGGGAGGGGGCAGCAGAGGAAGGGAUUUGGACUCCAUGUGGCUCCUUCUCUCUCUCUCAGUGCCCCAAUCACCAGGACUGGCCUGAAAGAAUCUCCUCCCCCACGGGCCAGAGUCCCAGCUUCGCUAGGCUGGUGGAGAGGAAGAGGAACAGUCCUGAGGAGAUGCCUGAGAGGCACAUGGAGAGAUAGGCCCCAGUGGAGGUGAGCAGACUGCAAGCAGCAGGGACCCGUGGCCUCUCUCCCACACUCCAUAACAGCUGGAAGAGCAGUUGGCCAGGAUUGCAACCGACCAGCAACAACAGCCUCAAGAGGAGACAGAGAGACAGCAUGAGGUCAACAAGCCCAGGAACAUACAAAGCAGUUCCUGGAUCCUAAAUAUUCACGUGUGCGCCUCUUUGUAGUCAGCCACACCUUGUCUACCAGUCCCUGGCAACCUCCAAUGAGGAAUUGAAUUCUACAAUUCCUCAUUAGGAAGAAGAGGCUGGCUUCGGACCUGAAGUCUUCAAGGCCCAACCUCUCCAGUGCCUGUGUUAGGAUUACAAGCAGCACACCCGCCCUGGCUCCCUUUGGUAUUUUAUUUGAGACUGAAUUCCAUUGGAACUGCAUAUGGAUGAAGGGUGGCUUGACAUUCACUUAAGAGUCUUGGAGUGGGGUUGGGGAUUUAGCUCAGUGGUAGAGCAGCUGGGUUCAGUCCCCAGCUCCGGGGGGGGGGGGAUUUUUUUUCCUCCCCCCCCCCCCGGAGCUGGGGACCAAACCCAGGGCCUUGCGCUUGCUAGGCAAGCACUCUACCACUGAGCCAAAUCCCCAACCCGGAAGCUUUCUUUAUUCAAGUAAAAAGUCUGUCUUUGCACUUUCGUGAACAAUGUUAAUUUUGUCUGGAUUGACUUCUGUGCAUGAAAGAAAGGGUUAAAAGGUAUUCAGACUGAAACACAAGGAUCAAGAGUUUAAAGCUGAAUGGUUGGAUACAGAGGGGAUUUGGGACCAGCCUGGGUUACAUGAAGACAUUUCAUCCAAAAAAAAAAAAAAAAAAAGUAAAUGGAAAGUGACUGGUAUCUUGGGAGGAAGGACUGAGGGAACUUCCUUCACAGCCAGUCUGUAGAGGAGAACUGUCCCCAUCCCUGCCUUCACUCAGAUGCCCCAAUGACAUUAAGGGGAUAGGAAACCUAAGGGGAUAGACUGGACGGGAGGCUCUGUGGCUUUUUAACAGGAGCCCCUUCUCCAACACCCCAUGCUCCCCAGACUGCAGCGCCCAGAGACUCACCCCUUAAUCUAGCUGAGCAAGAGGGUGACAUGGUCUAUCCCAGGGUAAUGGGGUCAUGACAGGGUCCAGGGCCCCCCCAAGACACAGUCAAGACAGUGGGGCCAUGAAGGUUUGUGCUUAUCUCUUUAUUGUUUCUGUCCAGGGCCCCUGCGGUGGGAGGGGCAGGCAGGGGAGGUGGCAUCCUCCCACCAACCUGAGCCCACUCUCUGCCUCUCUCUUCUUUCCUCUCCAACUUCUCACCCAUCCUCUCUCCUUCUGUAUCUCCUGCUCCCACAUCCAGCACCUUCCAGUUCUCUCUUACAGCCCCUGCUUUCCAAGCCUAUCCUGAGCUGGGGUGGGAAAGAGAGGGGCCACGAGGACAUUUUUCAGGCCCCCCCUUCUCCAUC